AGUGAACGCUGGCGGUAGGCCUAACACAUGCAAGUCGAACGGCAGCACAGUAAGAGCUUGCUCUUACGGGUGGCGAGUGGCGGACGGGUGAGGAAUACAUCGGAAUCUACUUUUUCGUGGGGGAUAACGUAGGGAAACUUACGCUAAUACCGCAUACGACCUACGGGUGAAAGCAGGGGAUCUUCGGACCUUGCGCGAUUGAAUGAGCCGAUGUCGGAGUAGCUAGUUGGCGGGGUAAAGGCCCACCAAGGCGACGAUCCGUAGCUGGUCUGAGAGGAUGAUCAGCCACACUGGAACUGAGACACGGUCCAGACUCCUACGGGAGGCAGCAGUGGGGAAUAUUGGACAAUGGGCGCAAGCCUGAUCCAGCCAUACCGCGUGGGUGAAGAAGGCCUUCGGGUUGUAAGGCCCUUUUGUUGGGAAAGAAAAGCAGCAGGUUAAUACCCCGCUGUUCUGACGGUACCCAAAGAAUAAGCACCGGCUAACUUCGU
RNAcentral lists this ribosomal RNA (491 nucleotides) under uncultured bacterium. RNAcentral describes it as "partial 16S ribosomal RNA". It matches the Rfam family "Bacterial small subunit ribosomal RNA", at positions 29 to 506 of the family's 1533-position model. The record is from RNAcentral.